UACUAGAGUAGCACUCGCAUAUCAAUAAGCGGAGGAAAAGAAACUAACUAGGAUUCCCUUAGUAACGGCGAGUGAAGCGGGAAGAGCUCAAAUUUGAAAUCUUCAAGGUUUUACCUUGACGAAUUGUAGUUUAAAGAAGUCGUUUUCUGUUGGAGUUUUGGUAAAAGUUCUUUGGAAUAGGACAUCAUAGAGGGUGAGAAUCCCGUAUUUGACCAUUAUUUCCAGCUGUGUGAUACACUUUCAAAGAGUCGGAUUGUUUGGAAUGCAGUCCAAAAUGGGUGGUAAAUUUCAUCUAAAGCUAAAUAUUGGCGAGAGACCGAUAGCGAACAAGUACCGUGAGGGAAAGAUGAAAAGAACUUUGAAAAGAGAGUUAAACAGUACGUGAAAUUGUCAAAAGGGAAGCGUUUGACACCAGUGUUGUUUUCUCGAAAAUCAAUUAAAAAUGAUGGGAUUUUGUGUUGUAUUGACUUUAUCAGCUUUCUGCACUUUUUUCCUAUCUUUUUUAAUGCACUUUUCGUUUAACAAGUCAACAUCAAUUUCUUUUGCUGUAAAAGGGUCAUUGGAAGGUGGCUUUCUUUUCGGAGAAAGUGUUUAUAAGCCUUUGACUUCUGCAGUCGGAGAGAUUGAGGUCUGCAGCGUAGAUCCUUCGGGGUUAGAUACAUUUGUGCUAAGCUAUAGUUCUUUAUAGACAACUUGUUGACUAUAAUCAAUCCUGUAACUUACUCGCUUAUGCUAUUUUACCUACGCUUAGGAUGUUGAUAGUCACAGCGUUAC
RNAcentral lists this ribosomal RNA (774 nucleotides) under uncultured Neocallimastigales. RNAcentral describes it as "partial large subunit ribosomal RNA". The stretch from base 14 to 694 matches the Rfam family "Eukaryotic large subunit ribosomal RNA", at positions 24 to 664 of the family's 3401-position model. Lineage: Eukaryota; Fungi; Neocallimastigomycota; Neocallimastigomycetes; Neocallimastigales. The record is from RNAcentral.